UCCGUCUCUGCAGGGAUACGGUCUGGUUGCAGCACUGUGGGGAUGUUUGGUGUUUAAAGAGAUAAAGGGGUUAUCCAACUGCUUCGUCUUCUUGCUGGCGUCCUUUGUCGUCCUGACCGGCUCCUUGCUGACGGCCAUCUCAAAACUCUAAUGUUUGAACGUUUUCUGUACUCACCUUUUUUCAGAGUUCUUCGUUUCACGUUUGGAAAAAAGGAAAUGACCUUGGUUUUAUAAAAGUGUCAGACCGUGUGGUUGAAACAGACCACCAUGCAUGUCGGUUGAGAUGAAUGUAAGCGCUUUUUGUUUGCCGCCUUCUGGAAGCGGACGGGGUUAAUACUUUGAGCAGACAUUUGGUGGCAGUGUCUUACAGGAACUCUGGUUUGAUCUGAGAGGGCCGUUUGCUGUUGAACUCUGAAUUUGUUACUGAAAAAUGUUUCAACGUUUGUGUUGUUUGAAUGUUCUAGUAAUUUAUUUGUUUAAAGAAUAUAUUUUGUCACAUGCUAUGUUCAGCUGCUACUAACGGUGUCCAUGCAUCACUUUUAACACUUUCCACGCACGCUUAUUGUCACUGCAGAGGGGGCGGUUCGCUAGACACAUUUCUAUUUCACUAACGGGGGAGUUUGUUUUCAUGUUUCCAGAACAAAAAUCAAAUGAGUUGUCAGAGGAGUUUCUCUUGUGUUUUUUUCCCCACACAUGCUGCUAUUAAAAACAUCUGAUACUGACAGAUCUGCUCCUACACACAA
Non-coding RNA from Labrus bergylta (ballan wrasse), 743 nucleotides. NCBI's taxonomy places the organism in Eukaryota, Metazoa, Chordata, Actinopteri, Labriformes, Labridae. The record is from RefSeq and is a predicted model, not a curated record.